CAUUAAAUUUUCCUUUAAGAUAUCGUGC
RNAcentral lists this small RNA (28 nucleotides) under Bombyx mori (domestic silkworm). Its description in RNAcentral is "ovarian small RNA-13433". Lineage: Eukaryota; Metazoa; Arthropoda; Insecta; Lepidoptera; Bombycidae. The record is from RNAcentral.